CCUGCCCCAGCUCGUGUUGCAGGUGUGGCUGUGGUGCCACAUCUGUGUCAUUGGGUGGCAGAGAGCAAAAGGCUGUGUCUUUGCUAGUGUUCUGAAACCUGUGAGCACUUGGGAAUGACGAGCAACCUGACAAU
RNAcentral lists this small nucleolar RNA (134 nucleotides) under Apaloderma vittatum (bar-tailed trogon). RNAcentral's name for it is "Small nucleolar RNA SNORA17". It matches the Rfam family "Small nucleolar RNA SNORA17". From Rfam's summary of the family: snoRNA ACA 17 belongs to the H/ACA family of snoRNAs and is predicted to guide pseudouridylation of the 28S rRNA at positions U4659 and U4598. Lineage: Eukaryota; Metazoa; Chordata; Aves; Trogoniformes; Trogonidae. The record is from Rfam by way of RNAcentral.